Molecule: RNA transcript, 461 nt
Organism: Vanessa tameamea
Lineage: Eukaryota; Metazoa; Arthropoda; Insecta; Lepidoptera; Nymphalidae
Exons: 2
Source: RefSeq, a predicted model, not a curated record
AUUUGUCUUCUAACCUACAAUAAUUGAAAUAGUUGGAGAGAAAAAUUUUGUAAAAAUGAAACUAACUCAAAUUUUAUUCCGUCGGAAUCGUUUACCAAAUGGUCAUAUUUUUCGUGGAAAAGACCGUUUAGUAAAAAGAGUUGAGCCAAAACAUCUUCGUGCCGUAGAAAGUAACUUUGCAAUUGAAGAGCAGAAUAUGUUUUAUUUACGUCAUCCAUACCUGACUGAGGCUGAAAGUUCUGGGCACUCCAAAGCUUUAGGGAAACAGGAACAAAGGAAAAAAUCAUUUGAAAAUAUUACAAGAAGAAUCUUCAAAGAGGAUGUAACUCUAUAUGAACGACUCAAACAUCUUAGGGUUAAAGAAAGCUGGGAGAAUUAAAAUGUCCCUACAUAAUAUUUGUACUUGGUUAGAUUAAAUUUAGUUUACAAUAAGAUAAAUAAAAUAUGGAGUUUAAAAAGUU